GCCUGCUAAAGAGUAACGGAGGUGCACAGGGUCUUCUAUUUUCAUACAAAUGAAAUAUUAAAGUUAAUAAAUGUAAAGGCUAAAUAAUAAGAAGGCUUGAUUGUGAGAGUAACUACUUAAACAAGGAUGAAAGUCUGUCUUAGUGAUCCGACAACUCUAAGUGGUAGGAUGAGGCGAUGAUAC
Molecule: non-coding RNA, 183 nt
Filed under: Toxoplasma gondii VEG
Lineage: Eukaryota; Apicomplexa; Conoidasida; Eucoccidiorida; Sarcocystidae
Also listed under: 1 other name
Source: Rfam by way of RNAcentral